Molecule: ribosomal RNA, 248 nt
Filed under: uncultured bacterium
Lineage: Bacteria
Description: partial 16S ribosomal RNA
Rfam family: Bacterial small subunit ribosomal RNA
Source: RNAcentral
UACAUGGGGUGCAAACGUUGCUCGGAAUUAUUGGGCGUAAAGCGCACGUAGGCGGUUUGUUAAGUCGGAUGUGAAAUCCCUCGGCUCAACUGAGGAAGUGCAUCCGAAACUGGCAGGCUUGAGUACUAAAGAGGGUCGCGGAAUUCCCGGUGUAGAGGUGAAAUUCGUAGAUAUCGGGAGGAACACCGGUGGCGAAGGCGGCGACCUGGGUAGAUACUGACGCUGAGGUGCGAAAGCGUGGGGAGCAA